This 464-nucleotide ribosomal RNA is filed under the name Vreelandella stevensii. RNAcentral describes it as "partial 16S ribosomal RNA". It matches the Rfam family "Bacterial small subunit ribosomal RNA", at positions 339 to 795 of the family's 1533-position model. Lineage: Bacteria; Pseudomonadati; Pseudomonadota; Gammaproteobacteria; Oceanospirillales; Halomonadaceae. The record is from RNAcentral.
CUACGGGCGGCAGCAGUGGGGAAUAUUGGACAAUGGGCGAAAGCCUGAUCCAGCCAUGCCGCGUGUGUGAAGAAGGCCUUCGGGUUGUAAAGCACUUUCAGUGGGGAAGAAAGCCUUGGGGCUAAUACCCUCGAGGAAGGACAUCACCCACAGAAGAAGCACCGGCUAACUCCGUGCCAGCAGCCGCGGUAAUACGGAGGGUGCGAGCGUUAAUCGGAAUUACUGGGCGUAAAGCGCGCGUAGGCGGUCUGAUAAGCCGGUUGUGAAAGCCCCGGGCUCAACCUGGGAACGGCCUCCGGAACUGUCAGGCUAGAGUGCAGGAGAGGAAGGUAGAAUUCCCGGUGUAGCGGUGAAAUGCGUAGAGAUCGGGAGGAAUACCAGUGGCGAAGGCGGCCUUCUGGACUGACACUGACGCUGAGGUGCGAAAGCGUGGGUAGCAAACAGGAUUAGAUACCCUAGUAGUC